GACAGAGGGGGCAAGCGUUGUCCGGAUUUAUUGGGCGUAAAGAGCGUGUAGGCGGCCAGACAGGUCUGCUGUGAAAACUCGAGGCUCAACCUCGAGACGCCGGUGGAAACCGUCUGGCUAGAGUCCGGAAGAGGAGAGUGGAAUUCCUGGUGUAGCGGUGAAAUGCGCAGAUAUCAGGAAGAACACCCGUGGCUAAGGCGGCUCUCUAGUACGGUACUGACGCUGAGACGCGAAAGCGUGGGGAGCGAACAGG
Molecule: ribosomal RNA, 253 nt
Filed under: uncultured bacterium
Lineage: Bacteria
Description: partial 16S ribosomal RNA
Rfam family: Bacterial small subunit ribosomal RNA
Source: RNAcentral